UACCUGAAAUAAAGUAGUACAACGAUUAACGCGCGAGGCUUCUUCUUAUAUCCGUAUAAAAAUAAUUUAUCAAACUUGGAUAAAAAAAAAACAUAUUAGUAUUCUUCAACAUCUGGUACGGAAUACAUUUUAACAUUUUAAAAUGUCAACAUUUUUUGCAAUUAAAAAAAUCUAUAAAAAAAACGCAACACGAUAGGUUAUGUAUAUAAUUUAAUUCCAAUAAAUCUCACUGUGUACGAUAUCGCGUAAGAUUUCUCUCUCGCUGUGGAAUAUUUCAAUGAUAUAUUUGCGAUAAGUAACCGCGUAAAUCGUAAAACGAUCGGGAUUACCAGACAUAAAAGCUCUGUUGGGACUCGUGUUUCGAAAAUAGAUCGGAAUAAAAUAGAAAUUGAAUGAUGCACAGACGGGCGGCGCGCAAGCAAAAGAAUCAUUCAGAUAACGCGACGAACAUCGCGGGGAAUCCGGAGCAAUAUUCCAAUUUUUUUUUUUCGCAAGUUAUCCGUAACGUCUUUGUUCUCUCGUAGAGAUUUUCAGCCAAAUGACAGCCGAGGGAAAAGGAAGAGUUCCGGCCGACGCGACGCGGUGCACGCUUCGGCGAGCUUCUUCCUCGCCGUGUUCGCUCAUUGGACAACGACGCUCGCGCGCAACGAAAUUCAGCAGAAAACCGUCCGCACCGGUCCGCGCGAAUCCCCAUUUUUUGUUACUAUAGAGAGAAAGAGAGAGAGAGAGAGAGAGAGACCGACCGAAAGAGCGACAGGAGAGAAAGAGAGAGAGGAAGAGCGUGCCGCGCGCGCUCUGACCGCGCAAAAUAAUCCAAAAUAAGUCACCGACAUCGAUCGGGGGCGGCCAGAAAGAAGGAGAAGUCAGCCACGCGGUAUAACGUGUGUGUGUGUGUGUGUGUGUGUGUGUGUGUGUGUGUGUGUGUGUUUUGCACUGCACCACGCUACCACGCGCUUGUAAGCGCGUUGGAUGUGCACGUUGAUGUGUUUUCCACCACCCACCCUCUAAACGGUGCCCCCGCACCCUCUCCUUGUCUCUUCGUACCCUCUCGACGAACCUUACUACGAGUCUCUCUCUCUCUCUCUCUCUCUCUCUCUCUCUCUCUCUCUCUCUCUUCCUUUCUUCCUUUCGUCCUGUCCCGCUUUUGUAUUUCGUUUAUCAGGCUUAACAUGCGACUUUGCCCACCACUUUGCCCGGCGGGAGGCGUUUGUACCGCGAAUAAGGAUUACGACGAAAAUAAAUGGUUGCUAAUCAUACGAGAUAAGGCUCGCGUCACAACGGCGAUCGCACUUUAAUUAGCAUCGUAAUAAUAUGCGGCUCACGCAUAUAAGCAAAGGAGAAAUAAGUAUGCGAUAUAACAAAUAUGUAUAAAAGCAAAAUUUUCUCAUUUCGCUGAGGAAUUAAAAGUGUAAGACCAUUUUGUACAUUUCAUUACGCAUUAGUCAUAACGCAACAAUACUCUUAUUACGAUUUUGAAAAGAACUAAGCAUUUUUCAACUUUUGCAAGUUUUUUAAAUUAAACAAAAAAAAAGAAAAUAUAAAUUUGGAGAGAGUUAAUUAUCGAAAUGCGUUUCGUUAGUCGCGCAUGUAUUACAAAAUGAAGUCGGCGGCCCGUUUAUUCUCCCGUUACCGCGACUCACAUAAUCUGUUUCAAUGAAAUUGGCGUUAAAGAAUGCAAGGGUGGCUGUUUCGAAAGCACGCACAAGGGGAAAAGGGGAGGGGAAAGGGGCUUUGUACCGGCUGUUAAAAGCGGAUCCCGCUUUUACCUCGUAAUCGUAACGUGGUCCCUCUCCCGCCGCCACCGCCACCGUCAUUCGCCCGCGAGCAUCGAAACGAGUAAUCGUACUAUUUCGUGGAGAGCACGGCCGGUCAAAGUACGUAAUUCGCUUACUCGCCACCGACCCGGGGCCGACACACCGGAGAGAACGAGUGUGCAUUAAAAAUUAACGAACUGUAAAGCGGCGUACCGUCGCGCCGCGCCGAGUUUGAGCGAGCAUGAGCGAUGCGCGCGCGCGCGAGGGAGAAAACGGAAAAAAAAAAAAAAAAAAAAAGCCGAGGGAGAAAAGGAAGGCCGCGAGGAAUCGCCGACGAAAUCUACCACUAUCCAGCCUUAUCGCGAGUCAAAUAAAACGAUAAUCGGUCGGCGAUCGCAAAGGUUUCCUCGUCAGCGUCGCGUCGUGCCGUUCGUUUUUUCCUUCCGACCGACGACAACGACGACGACGACGACGACGACGACGACGUCGAGUCUGGCGAUUGCAUGCGCGCGAACAAGAUCAGCCGCAUGUAAAUUUGAUGAUCGCGGAUGAAAAACGAGCACCCGGCGCGGCAUGGCGCGGCGCGAAGAGUGACAAAUACGCCAGUCACCAUCUGUCUUGGCCCGAUAGAAUUAACGCCGGGGCACACCUCUGGGAAAUCUAGCCCGGCAAGUCGGGCAGAAGGAGGGAGAGAUGGUUCGGGGCGUCUAACGCAGACGUAAAUUACGCGGUUCCUUAAAAGACACAGCAUAAAUCACGCUAACGGGGCAUCAAUCCCGAGCGCGGGGACGCGGGCGGGCGUGCGCGUGCGAACGCGCAAAAAGUCGCCGCGCGCGCGGAACGAACUAUACGUUACAAUUAAACCCGUGGAGAGAGAAUCCCGGGGAUAGUCCCCGGCAAUUAAUAAUCCGGCCGGACACUUAAUCACCAUUUACCAUGACAAAUGCGCGGUGAAAUGCAUCCGCGGUCUCCUUCCGCGAGGGGUGACAAGGGGGCAAGCACGCACGCGCGCGACUAUCGUAAGACGGGGGGAAAAAUCGUCGGAUAAAAAUUUUAGGAUCUUCGAUCUGCGCGCCGCUUGCGAAGCUUGGAACCCAUUGGCAUUUCGUAGGUCGGGCGAGCACGCAAAACGCGGAUUCGUCUUUUUCCGCGCCGAUUUUCCGCUUUCACGUGUUCAGGCACGGCACAGUUAUCCUUGACGAAUUCGAGGAGAAGGGGGGAGGAAAAGCAGGGAGGGUGGCACGUGCUACCCCUCACUCCGUGAUUUCGCUCCGAGUGGAGCUCGAGGACGGCCUUACGCGUCACCCCGACGCGCACGUGCGAGCCUCAUGUACGUCACACGCGCGCGCUCGUCGCGUUCGCACACGUGUAAACGGGCGAGAACGUGUGUGCCCUGUGUGCGCCAAGAGAGUACGAGAGGGGUACGAGUGCGGUAUAUAGGGCGGGGGAAAGCCCCGUGGAGGGCGGAUCGAUAUUAAAAUAGUGACCGAAUUCCGGCGUGCCGCAACCUACCCUACGCUCUUCGGCUCGCCCUUAAACUAUCCUGCCGCGUUCUCCUCCUCCGUGCGUUCUACCCUUCCCCUCCCGCCCUUCGUUGCUCCUUGAAACCGCGUUCCCGUUUUACGCCCCCUUUCCGGACUCUUCUCCGAGACGUGCGGGCGCGCGCACGCCCUCCGGCAGUUACAGGCUCCGGCAAACUUUUUCCACCACACGGCGAGGAGGAAAACACCGUCGUAAACCAUCGGCCGAAAUUUCCAGUCGUGGCGCAAAGCCCGCGCCGAAGGAUAAUAACCGGCGGCAGCGAAGACGUGCGACGUAAAAAACACACAUGGCGGACUCUCGUGAGGAUCUUCGGCGGGCAUAUAUAUCCCUCAAUAUUGGUCCUCGGGCUAUUUCUCGUCAUCAAAUUUAAGCGUUUCUCCAAAACGCGAUCGUCUCCGUUUCUGUUCCGCGUGUGAAUAUUUGAACCUACGAAACUACCUGCAUUUGCACAGCCAUUCCGUGCAAACUGCGAGUGUCGGGGAGUGCCGAAUCGAGAAACGGACAAUCGUUUCGAGGACACGAAUGGUGUGAUCGCGAUUAACGCGGUCUUCCGACGUUCCAAGACGGCGAGGUGACAUCUGUCCAUUCACUUAUUGCAUAUGCCGGCCUUUCAGGUUACAUAUACAGCGGAUUAAAAACGGAAAGGAGCCAAACAGAAAAUAGAAACGGAAAAGACAAGUAUGAAAUGCCGCUGCAUAAACUGGUUACAUAUACAGCGGAUUAAAAACGGAAAGGAGCCAAACAGAAAAUAGAAACGGAAAAGACAAGUAUGAAAUGCCGCUGCAUAAACCGGUUACAUAUACAGCGGAUUAAAAACGGAAAGGAGCCAAACAGAAAAUAGAAACGGAAAAGACAAGUAUGAAAUGCCGCUGCAUAAACCGGUUACAUAUACAGCGGAUUAAAAACGAAAAGGAGCCAAACAGAAAAUAGAAACGGAAAA
Monomorium pharaonis (pharaoh ant) is the source of this 4236-nucleotide long non-coding RNA. RefSeq lists it as uncharacterized. NCBI's taxonomy places the organism in Eukaryota, Metazoa, Arthropoda, Insecta, Hymenoptera, Formicidae. The record is from RefSeq and is a predicted model, not a curated record. The transcript has 6 exons.